GAGUUUGAUCAUGGCUCAGAUUGAACGCUGGCGGCAUGCCUUACACAUGCAAGUCGAACGGUAACGCGGGGCAACCUGGCGACGAGUGGCGAACGGGUGAGUAAUGCAUCGGAACGUGCCCAGUAGUGGGGGAUAGCCCGGCGAAAGCCGGAUUAAUACCGCAUACGACCUACGGGUGAAAGGGGGGGAUCGCAAGACCUCUCGCUAUUGGAGCGGCCGAUGUCAGAUUAGGUAGUUGGUGGGGUAAAGGCCUACCAAGCCGACGAUCUGUAGCUGGUCUGAGAGGACGACCAGCCACACUGGGACUGAGACACGGCCCAGACUCCUACGGGAGGCAGCAGUGGGGAAUUUUGGACAAUGGGCGAAAGCCUGAUCCAGCCAUGCCGCGUGCGGGAAGAAGGCCUUCGGUUGUAACCG
RNAcentral lists this ribosomal RNA (417 nucleotides) under uncultured beta proteobacterium. RNAcentral's name for it is "bacterial SSU rRNA". It matches the Rfam family "Bacterial small subunit ribosomal RNA", at positions 9 to 432 of the family's 1533-position model. The record is from RNAcentral. Lineage: Bacteria; Pseudomonadati; Pseudomonadota; Betaproteobacteria.